Molecule: ribosomal RNA, 239 nt
Filed under: uncultured bacterium
Lineage: Bacteria
Description: partial 16S ribosomal RNA
Rfam family: Bacterial small subunit ribosomal RNA
Source: RNAcentral
CCGGCGAACGGGUGCGUAACACGUGAGCAACCUGCCGAUCUGAGGGGGAUAGCCGGCCCAACGGCCGGGUAAUACCGCAUACGUUCUCGAGGGGGAGUCCCCUUGGGAAGAAACCUCCGGGGCAGAUCGAGGGGCUCGCGGCCUAUCAGCUAGUUGGCGAGGUAAUGGCUCACCAAGGCUACGACGGGUAGCUGGUCUGAGAGGAUGGCCAGCCACAUUGGGACUGAGAAACGGCCCAG